This 253-nucleotide ribosomal RNA is filed under the name uncultured bacterium. RNAcentral's name for it is "partial 16S ribosomal RNA". It matches the Rfam family "Bacterial small subunit ribosomal RNA", at positions 524 to 776 of the family's 1533-position model. The record is from RNAcentral.
UACGGGGGGGGCAAGCGUUGUUCGGAAUUACUGGGCGUAAAGGGCUCGUAGGCGGCCAACUAAGUCGGACGUGAAAUCCCCAGGCUCAACCUGGGAACUGCGUCCGAUACUGGAUGGCUUGAAUUCGGGAGAGGGAUGCAGAAUUCCAGGUGUAGCGGUGAAAUGCGUAGAUAUCUGGAGGAAUACCGGUGGCGAAGGCGGCAUCCUGGACCGACAUUGACGCUGAGGAGCGAAAGCAUGGGGAGCGAACAGG